This 80-nucleotide ribosomal RNA is filed under the name Streptococcus pneumoniae. Lineage: Bacteria; Bacillati; Bacillota; Bacilli; Lactobacillales; Streptococcaceae. The record is from RNAcentral. RNAcentral also lists the same sequence under 3 other names.
UGGUGAUGAUGGCAGAGAGGUCACACCCGUUCCCAUACCGAACACGGAAGUUAAGCUCUCUAGCGCCGAUGGUAGUUGGG